Molecule: ribosomal RNA, 855 nt
Filed under: Triticum aestivum (bread wheat)
Lineage: Eukaryota; Viridiplantae; Streptophyta; Magnoliopsida; Poales; Poaceae
Description: partial small subunit ribosomal RNA
Source: RNAcentral
AUGGGUCGUACCAAUGUCAAUCCUAUUUGGGGGAAGAUUUGGAAAUUAUCGUGUUCGGCAAAGGUAAAAAUAUUUAUCUGGCGAACGUUGCAUGGAACUCUACCGUGUCGUGUUACACUUGCCAAUAGACAUAUGAAAGUUUCGCCCCUUUGUCCAUCAUGCUCAAAUGGGCAAGAAGAUACAAAACACAUCUUGUUUUUGUGUGAGAAGGCAAAAGAGGUUUGGGGUAAACUGGGGAUGUACGAGGUAAUUAAGAAAGCUUGUGUUAUUGAUCGUGCGGGUGAGGCGGUCCUUGAAUUCUUACUUCUUAUGCCGCACCAAGAACUAUCUGUAUUAGGAUGCCAGAAUGCAAGUGAAUUAAUCGCGAUAACCGCUUGGUAUUUAUGGUGGGAGAGACGCAUGUUGGUUCAUGAAGGGAAGUCUCAAGAUGUGAACCAGAUUUCGAUGGGGGUUCGUGCUAUAAUGGCAAACUAUGUGAAUGCCCACUCCCCUAGUGCGUCUAGUAGAAAAGAAGGAUGGAGCCGACCUCCUAUGGGUUUUGUUAAACUAAAUGUUGAUGCUUCUUUUGACCAUGAUCUGCUCAGGGGCACGGUAGGUGCUGUACUCAGAGAUGUCAAAGGAAAAUUCAUUGUUGGCGGAAAUGGGAAGAUCGAUUGGUGUGCUGAUGUACUAACAGCAAAAGCGAUGGCUCUGGGGUUUGGUUUAAUUCUUGCACAAAAGGCGGGAUGCAAUCGUCUUAUUAUCAACUCUGAUAAUAUGGAAGUCAUCGACACAAUGAAAAAUGGAGGACAAUCGGCGGGAGUUGCGGGGCAGUCUUCGAGGAUUGCUACUUCAUGGCAUGUGAUUUUUCGUUGA